AUGAAAGCUUCUAGGUAGGAGCUUACAGGACUCCUGAAGGCUGCAAAGAGAUGAAGAAUAGAUCCAGGCGGACCCAAGCAAUGAGGAGCAUGUACCGUCAUCAGAUAUUCCUUUUCCUACAAAUCAUACUGGUUACUGGAAAUAUACUAAAUGGCAGGACUGCUACCCUCAGAGACUUUGUCUUGUCAGCACUGCUGCCCAAUUACCUGCUUUAAGACUCUACAUGGAUCAAUCUGCAGUUUAGUUUUGAACAGAAAGGAUCCAGAAAUAUACUAGCCAAAGAGCAGACCUGAGCUGUACGGUCCCAGCCAUCCGAACAGUGCACCAG
Pelobates fuscus (common spadefoot toad) is the source of this 328-nucleotide long non-coding RNA. RefSeq lists it as uncharacterized. Lineage: Eukaryota; Metazoa; Chordata; Amphibia; Anura; Pelobatidae. The record is from RefSeq and is a predicted model, not a curated record. The transcript is spliced from 3 exons.